Sus scrofa (pig) is the source of this 1117-nucleotide non-coding RNA. The record is from RefSeq and is a predicted model, not a curated record. NCBI's taxonomy places the organism in Eukaryota, Metazoa, Chordata, Mammalia, Artiodactyla, Suidae.
UCCUCCCUUAUUUCCUCCUGUUCCCAGGGAAGGUAACCCUGAACAACGUAAGGCAGAGAAAACAAAACAUCGUUGGUUGUGAAACUCGCACCAUGAAGAGUUAGAAGGUGCUGAGUGCCUGGCGCCACUCUCCACACUUGGCGUGGGUGGUCUUGGUUAAUCCUCUCGAGGAGCCUGGGGGGAAGGAAUUGUCUCUAGAGCUAUUUUACAGCUCACUGCAUUAUUCCAACAUGUCACCUGGCUUGAGAACCACUGGUCUAGACCAACCCUACAAUUUACAGGUCAGGAAACCAAGGUCCAGAGGGGUAAACGGACCCACCCAAGGUCACCCAGCAAAGGCUCCUACAUUUAUCCACCCCCGACAGCCACGAAGCUCCCCCCUCGGAUCUAUCCCACAACCUCUUCUUGCCACUCAACUCCCUUUCCUCUGGUUAUUUUGUGUGGCGGAACAAGGGACACCUUGGCGGCCUUCUCCAUAAAGUCACCUUCAGAGACUUCAAGGUCAAUGCAAAUACCAGUCGUCAUAUGGGUCAGCCAGAGAAGCUUCUGGAAAUGUAACCUUUCCCCCGCCUCCAAAGCCAGGGCACAGGCUUCCCUGCAACCGUGUAAGCGACGGACUCCUUGCUCCCUUGCGAAUCGUGGCAGGAGGAGAGCAGAGGCUCUACUAGGAUCUCCUAAAUGGGCACAACUUCGGCCUCUCUGAGCCCCACGGCCCCUCCAGAGGAUGCUCAAUGGACUCCCCCAGUGUGCCACCAGAGAGGACAUCCACGGUCCUCUGGUUCAGUUCUCAGGCGGUGUCCUGACAAGUGACAGGAAACCACCACCGGGCCGUGGCAACAGGUGUCAGGGCAACCUGAGGCUUCCCGCCAGCCUGUCCACAGCCCUCCUUUUUCUUCCUCCUCGAGAGCUGUCUCCUUCCUCCCCACAGCCUGACAACCCCUCACCUCUCACCUUCAGGUCCUGUCCUUCUUGGGGGCCUAAGGCCUGAUCAAGACCUUCAAAGGCCUCCACACAAAAAAGACCGUCGUCUCUCUCUCCAAAUAUAAUUCCUGAUACUGAACAACCAGCACAAAAUGUAUAUACAUAAGCUGAAAUUAAAAGAGCUUUUUUGUUUUUA